This 497-nucleotide ribosomal RNA is filed under the name uncultured bacterium. Its description in RNAcentral is "partial 16S ribosomal RNA". It matches the Rfam family "Bacterial small subunit ribosomal RNA", at positions 28 to 507 of the family's 1533-position model. The record is from RNAcentral.
GAUGAACGCUGGCGGCGUGCCUAAUACAUGCAAGUCGAGCGAACGGACGAGAAGCUUGCUUUUCUGAUGUUAGCGGCGGACGGGUGAGUAACACGUGGAUAACCUACCUAUAAGACUGGGAUAACUUCGGGAAACCGGAGCUAAUACCGGAUAAUAUUUUGAACCGCAUGGUUCAAAAGUGAAAGACGGUCUUGCUGUCACUUAUAGAUGGAUCCGCGCUGCAUUAGCUAGUUGGUAAGGUAACGGCUUACCAAGGCAACGAUGCAUAGCCGACCUGAGAGGGUGAUCGGCCACACGGGAACUGAGACACGGUCCAGACUCCUACGGGAGGCAGCAGUAGGGAAUCUUCCGCAAUGGGCGAAAGCCUGACGGAGCAACGCCGCGUGAGUGAUGAAGGUCUUCGGAUCGGAAAACUCUGUUAUUAGGGAAGAACAUAUGUGUAAGUAACUGUGCACAUCUUGACGGUACCUAAUCAGAAAGCCACGGCUAACUACGUG